GAACGGAAAGGCCCUGCUUGCAGGGUACUCGAGUGGCGAACGGGUGAGUAACACGUGGGUGAUCUGCCCUGCACUUCGGGAUAAGCCUGGGAAACUGGGUCUAAUACCGGAUAGGAGCCAUUUUUAGUGUGAUGGUUGGAAAGUUUUUUCGGUGUAGGAUGAGCUCGCGGCCUAUCAGCUUGUUGGUGGGGUAAUGGCCUACCAAGGCGGCGACGGGUAGCCGGCCUGAGAGGGUGGACGGCCACAUUGGGACUGAGAUACGGCCCAGACUCCUACGGGAGGCAGCAGUGGGGAAUAUUGCACAAUGGGCGCAAGCCUGAUGCAGCGACGCCGCGUGGGGGAUGACGGCCUUCGGGUUGUAAACUCCUUUCGCUAGGGACGAAGCUUUUUGUGACGGUACCUAGAUAAGAAGCACCGGCUAACUACGUGCCAGCAGCCGCGGUAAUACGUAGGGUGCGAGCGUUGUCCGGAAUUACUGGGCGUAAAGGGCUCGUAGGUGGUUUGUCGCGUCGUCUGUGAAAUUCCGGGGCUUAACUCCGGGCGUGCAGGCGAUACGGGCAUAACUUGAGUACUGUAGGGGUAACUGGAAUUCCUGGUGUAGCGGUGAAAUGCGCAGAUAUCAGGAGGAACACCGAUGGCGAAGGCAGGUUACUGGGCAGUUACUGACGCUGAGGAGCGAAAGCAUGGGUAGCGAACAGGAUUA
RNAcentral lists this ribosomal RNA (703 nucleotides) under uncultured Actinomycetales bacterium. RNAcentral describes it as "bacterial SSU rRNA". It matches the Rfam family "Bacterial small subunit ribosomal RNA", at positions 64 to 780 of the family's 1533-position model. The record is from RNAcentral. Lineage: Bacteria; Bacillati; Actinomycetota; Actinomycetes; Actinomycetales.